RNAcentral lists this long non-coding RNA (473 nucleotides) under Bos taurus (domestic cattle). RNAcentral's name for it is "long non-coding RNA NONBTAT013964". Lineage: Eukaryota; Metazoa; Chordata; Mammalia; Artiodactyla; Bovidae. The record is from RNAcentral.
UUUAAGAACUUCAGUAAUAACUAAAGUUUUAUCAUCUUUUGAUUUUUAAGAUAAGUGUCAUUGGCUAGCAGUUGAGAUUGCUCUGUCAUGGAACUGACUUUUGCAUGUAGGCUGGUUUUAUGUUGAUUACUUUUGAUAUUUGUUUUGUGAAAACCCUUUACAUUUGUUGGAUUUUAUAUUCUUUGUGGGCUGAGGCAGAUACUUUUAUAGCCAGGACGAGUGGAGAGGCGGUGAGGGUGUGAAGGGAAGGCAGCCAUCUUGGAUUCUGGUCACUUUCCCGUUGCCCGGCUGUGUGACUUGUGCCCAAUACCACAUCAGCUGGUGCAGGUGCUGACACUCGGCGUCAGACUUGGGUGCCCAGCCCAUGGUCUUUUCUCUGGGACCCUUGAUUGACCUUCUAGGGUUCCGAGCAGGUUUUGUUCUGGUGGUGCUGGAGACGACUUCUUGGCCUUUGGUUAGGAUGGUUGAUAUGU